AGAGUUUGAUCAUGGCUCAGGAUGAACGUUGGCGGUGUGCCUAAUACAUGCAAGUCGAACGGAGUUAAUAGCAAUAUUGACUUAGUGGCGAACGGGUGAGUAACGCGUUGGUGAUCUGCCUCGAAGUGUGGAAUAACGUUCCGAAAGGAUCGCUAAUACCGCAUGUGCUCUCGAUUUUUAGAAAGUUGAGAGUAAAGGAUUUAUUCGCUUCGAGAGGAGCCUGCGUCCCAUCAGCUGGCUGGUAGGGUAACGGCCUACCAAGGCUAUGACGGGUAGGGGACCUGAGAGGGUGGCCCCCCACAAUGGAACUGAAACACGGUCCAUACACCUACGGGUGGCAGCAGUAGGGAAUAUUAGAAAUGGACGAAAGUCUGAUCUAGCAACACCGCGUGUGCGAAGAAGGCCUUCGGGUCGUAAAGCACUUUUUGGAAGGAAUAGGAAGGAAUGUACUUCCAGAAUAAGUCUCGGCUAACUACGUGCCAGCAGCCGCGGUAACACGUAGGAGGCAAACGUUAUCCGGAUUUACUGGGCGUAAAGCGCGUGUAGGUGGUACUGUAAGUAGGGCGUGAAAGCUCCCGGCUCAACUGGGAGAGGCCGUUCUAAACUGCAGAACUAGAGGAUGGUAGAGGGAGGUGGAAUUCCAGGUGUAGCGGUGGAAUGCGCAGAUAUCUGGAGGAACACCAGUGGCGAAGGCGGCCUCCUGGACCAUUCCUGACACUCAGACGCGAAAGCUAGGGUAGCAAACGGGAUUAGAGACCCCGGUAGUCCUAGCCCUAAACGAUGUAGACUAGGCGUCGGUGGUUUAAUCACCAUCGGUGUCCAAGCUAACGCGAUAAGUCUACCGCCUGGGGACUACGGCCGCAAGGUUAAAACUCAAAGGAAUUGACGG
RNAcentral lists this ribosomal RNA (889 nucleotides) under uncultured Anaerolineaceae bacterium. Its description in RNAcentral is "bacterial SSU rRNA". It matches the Rfam family "Bacterial small subunit ribosomal RNA", at positions 8 to 916 of the family's 1533-position model. Lineage: Bacteria; Bacillati; Chloroflexota; Anaerolineae; Anaerolineales; Anaerolineaceae. The record is from RNAcentral.